CUACAGCAGGACUUGAGAUGACUAACUGCUCUCAAACCUCUGGCAGCAGAUGGCCUACAGAGGAAACUCAUGGAAAUUGGUAUGUCUCCAACCAGGAACAGUGUCAUAAUAUCACCAAAAAGAAUACAGGAAAUUGACAAGUCACCUGUUAUUCAGUGGAGUUCAUCUCAGUAGCCUCAGAAAGAGACAGAGGUAAUCAACUCAAAAAGAUGGACGGAUGGCUGAGGCCCUGGAAACCACAGAUAGCUGCAUCCGAGAAGAAGAAAAGGCACCUACUGCACACGUGAAGGCUGAAGGCGAGAUGAGGACCCCACACCGUGCAGACAUGCUGCACUCUGCAAGUUUGCAGGUGUCGUGAGACAGUUGUCCGUACAACAGCAGUGGCAGCUCUGGUCCUGGACUGCAGCUAUGCAGUUUCCUCCAACUCAGUCCGGUUAC
This is a long non-coding RNA of Molossus molossus (Pallas's mastiff bat), 438 nucleotides long. RefSeq lists it as uncharacterized. The record is from RefSeq and is a predicted model, not a curated record. The transcript has 3 exons. NCBI's taxonomy places the organism in Eukaryota, Metazoa, Chordata, Mammalia, Chiroptera, Molossidae.